UACGUAGGUGGCAAGCGUUGUCCGGAUUUACUGGGCGUAAAGAGCGCGCAGGCGGUCGUUCAAGUCGCGUGUGAAAGCCCCCGGCUCAACUGGGGAGGGUCACGCGAUACUGAUCGACUCGAAGGCAGGAGAGGGUAGUGGAAUUCCUGGUGUAGCGGUGAAAUGCGCAGAUAUCAGGAAGAACACCCGUAGCGAAGGCGGCUCUCUGGGACGGUACUGACGCUGAGACGCGAAAGCGUGGGGAGCGAACAGG
This 253-nucleotide ribosomal RNA is filed under the name uncultured bacterium. Its description in RNAcentral is "partial 16S ribosomal RNA". It matches the Rfam family "Bacterial small subunit ribosomal RNA", at positions 524 to 776 of the family's 1533-position model. The record is from RNAcentral.